UACGGAGGGUGCGAGCGUUGUCCGGAAUCACUGGGCGUAAAGGGCGCGUAGGCGGCGCGGGUAGUCAACGGUGAAAGCUUGGGGCUCAACCCCGAGUCGGCCGUCGAUACUCCCGUGCUUGAGCACCGUAGAGGCAGGUGGAAUUCCGGGUGUAGCGGUGGAAUGCGUAGAGAUCCGGAAGAACACCAAUGGCGAAAGCAGCUCUCUGGGACGGUACUGACGCUGAGACGCGAAAGCGUGGGGAGCGAACAGG
RNAcentral lists this ribosomal RNA (253 nucleotides) under uncultured bacterium. Its description in RNAcentral is "partial 16S ribosomal RNA". It matches the Rfam family "Bacterial small subunit ribosomal RNA", at positions 524 to 776 of the family's 1533-position model. The record is from RNAcentral.